UACGGGGGGGGCAAGCGUUGUUCGGAAUUAUUGGGCGUAAAGCGCACGUAGGCGGCUUUGUAAGUUGGAUGUGAAAUCCCUCGGCUCAACCAAGGAAGUGCAUCCAAAACUACAAAGCUUGAGUACUUAAGAGGAUCGCGGAAUUCCCGGUGUAGAGGUGAAAUUCGUAGAUAUCGGGAGGAAUACCAGUGGCGAAGGCGCUGGGCUGGACGGGCAUUGACGCUGAGGUGCGAAAGCGUGGGGAGCAAACAGG
This 253-nucleotide ribosomal RNA is filed under the name uncultured bacterium. RNAcentral describes it as "partial 16S ribosomal RNA". It matches the Rfam family "Bacterial small subunit ribosomal RNA", at positions 524 to 776 of the family's 1533-position model. The record is from RNAcentral.